This 27-nucleotide non-coding RNA is filed under the name Mus musculus (house mouse). Lineage: Eukaryota; Metazoa; Chordata; Mammalia; Rodentia; Muridae. The record is from RNAcentral.
UGUUUAGUAGCAUAUGUGCUUGGAAGU